Molecule: long non-coding RNA, 417 nt
Organism: Myotis daubentonii (Daubenton's bat)
Lineage: Eukaryota; Metazoa; Chordata; Mammalia; Chiroptera; Vespertilionidae
Source: RefSeq, a predicted model, not a curated record
GAUGCUAACCCUUAGCAUCACAGCUGUCCUUUCGGAUCAUCCCCUCAUGGUGCUCUCCAAACAGACCUACAAGCCUUAGCAAGUCACAUCAUCUCUGUGCCUCUGUUUUCUCAUCUGUAAAGUUGGAGAGAAGGCCAGAAGUUGAUACUCACACCACAGCGGGCUGGGAGCAAAGGCUGCUGGUCUCAUAGUAAUCCAUCACAAAGUCCCGAGGAAGUUUCCGGAGGAUGUAGGAGAAGCAGCAGGCAGUGGGAGGGUCGGAACCCACUGGAAAGGAAGGCCGAGAUGCCACUGUUGGACCAGCCCCAACUAGAAAAGUAGGCUCCCUACACUAUGGCUCUAGAAGCAGUAGCUGGAAUAACGGACUUACUUGGUGCUGAGAGCACUGGAGAGCAGAAGGCCGCCGCUAGCACGAGG